Molecule: ribosomal RNA, 634 nt
Filed under: Salmonella enterica
Lineage: Bacteria; Pseudomonadati; Pseudomonadota; Gammaproteobacteria; Enterobacterales; Enterobacteriaceae
Also listed under: 2 other names
Description: bacterial SSU rRNA
Rfam family: Bacterial small subunit ribosomal RNA
Source: RNAcentral
GCAAGGUUAAAACUCAAAUGAAUUGACGGGGGCCCGCACAAGCGGUGGAGCAUGUGGUUUAAUUCGAUGCAACGCGAAGAACCUUACCUGGUCUUGACAUCCACAGAACUUUCCAGAGAUGGAUUGGUGCCUUCGGGAACUGUGAGACAGGUGCUGCAUGGCUGUCGUCAGCUCGUGUUGUGAAAUGUUGGGUUAAGUCCCGCAACGAGCGCAACCCUUAUCCUUUGUUGCCAGCGGUCAGGCCGGGAACUCAAAGGAGACUGCCAGUGAUAAACUGGAGGAAGGUGGGGAUGACGUCAAGUCAUCAUGGCCCUUACGACCAGGGCUACACACGUGCUACAAUGGCGCAUACAAAGAGAAGCGACCUCGCGAGAGCAAGCGGACCUCAUAAAGUGCGUCGUAGUCCGGAUUGGAGUCUGCAACUCGACUCCAUGAAGUCGGAAUCGCUAGUAAUCGUGGAUCAGAAUGCCACGGUGAAUACGUUCCCGGGCCUUGUACACACCGCCCGUCACACCAUGGGAGUGGGUUGCAAAAGAAGUAGGUAGCUUAACCUUCGGGAGGGCGCUUACCACUUUGUGAUUCAUGACUGGGGUGAAGUCGUAACAAGGUAACCGUAGGGGAACCUGCGGUUGGA